Long non-coding RNA from Ochotona princeps (American pika), 334 nucleotides. RefSeq lists it as uncharacterized. Lineage: Eukaryota; Metazoa; Chordata; Mammalia; Lagomorpha; Ochotonidae. The record is from RefSeq and is a predicted model, not a curated record. The transcript is spliced from 3 exons.
ACGUCACCUGGGAACUAAGGUGAAAGAGAGUGUUAGAAUACUUUUUGGCAAGGAGAAAAUCCAGCAAAAUUGUGGCCACAGGCUGUGGUCUGGACAGAGUGCUAGGUGCCAGGACCCAACUAUUUGAGGUACCACUUGUUGCCUCCUGAGGUGUAUAUUAGCAGGCAGCUGGAAUCUGCAAAGGGAGGACUUGGAAUCCAGACGCUCUAGUACGAUCCCUGAUGGUCCAAUCUACUUGCACAUCUUCCACAAGCUUUGUAAUCACUAUAUCUCCAAAGACAGUGACUGGUUUGUUGUCCUCUGGCCAAUACUGAUGGCAUCUGAUCUGCAUUCA